UACGUAGGGUGCAAGCGUUGUCCGGAUUUAUUGGGCGUAAAGCGUUCCGCAGGCGCAUUUGUAAGUCAUGUUUCAAAUCUCGGGGCUCAACCUCGAAAAGGGACAUGAUACUGCAGAUGUAGAAUAAUAUAGGGGCUACUGGAACUUUGCAUGUAGGAGUGAAAUCCGUUGAUAUGCAAAGGAACACCGAGGGCGUAGGCAGGUAGCUGGAUAUUUAUUGACGCUCAGGGACGACAGCUAGGGUAGCGAAAGGG
RNAcentral lists this unclassified non-coding RNA (254 nucleotides) under uncultured Patescibacteria group bacterium. RNAcentral's name for it is "contains 16S-23S intergenic spacer region". It matches the Rfam family "Bacterial small subunit ribosomal RNA", at positions 524 to 776 of the family's 1533-position model. The record is from RNAcentral.